AUUGAACGCUGGCGGCAUGCCUUACACAUGCAAGUCGAACGGUAACGCGGGGCAACCUGGCGACGAGUGGCGAACGGGUGAGUAAUGCAUCGGAACGUGCCCAGUUGUGGGGGAUAACUGCUCGAAAGAGCAGCUAAUACCGCAUACGUCCUGAGGGAGAAAGCGGGGGACCGAAAGGCCUCGCGCGAUUGGAGCGGCCGAUGUCGGAUUAGCUAGUUGGUAGGGUAAAGGCCUACCAAGGCGACGAUCCGUAGCGGGUCUGAGAGGAUGAUCCGCCACACUGGGACUGAGACACGGCCCAGACUCCUACGGGAGGCAGCAGUGGGGAAUAUUGGACAAUGGGCGAAAGCCUGAUCCAGCCAUGCCGCGUGAGUGAUGAAGGCCUUAGGGUUGUAAAGCUCUUUUCACCCACGACGAUGAUGACGGUAGUGGGAGAGAAGCCCCGGCUAACUUCGUG
Molecule: ribosomal RNA, 457 nt
Filed under: uncultured bacterium
Lineage: Bacteria
Description: bacterial SSU rRNA
Rfam family: Bacterial small subunit ribosomal RNA
Source: RNAcentral